Molecule: long non-coding RNA, 681 nt
Organism: Chenopodium quinoa (quinoa)
Lineage: Eukaryota; Viridiplantae; Streptophyta; Magnoliopsida; Caryophyllales; Amaranthaceae
Exons: 2
Source: RefSeq, a predicted model, not a curated record
CUUUAAAACAUCCGCCUAUCCCCAAUCCCAAAUCAAAACCCUCUUCCUCUCUUCUUUAUGAAUGAGCAGUUACUUACUCCAACCCCAAAGUAAAACCCUCAUCCUCAAUUUUUUUUUUAUAAAAUUCUCCUUCAAUCUAGUGUUCGGCCAAAGAAAAAUCAAACAAAAUCCAAUACCAUUAAAUUGGAUCUAUAUCAUACAUUAAAAUUUACCCGAAACUUUUGAUUUUUUCUGCAUUCUGCUCCUUAAUUUACCUUCAACUUUAAUGUAUGAUAUAGAUCCAAUUCAUCAGCCAACGUUGUUAUAGAAUUAAUUUCCAAGCAAUUAAGAAGAAAGAGAACAACAAUGAAGGCAAAUUAGAGUAGAAAAAGGAAGAAAUUGGUACUACAGGUGGAUAAAAGACGACACACAACGUAUUUCGGCUGCUUCAAGUCGAUGGAGAUCGUCAUGGUAUCCUACCCUUUGAAUUGCUCCUAAUUGAAGGUUUACGUGACUGAAUUCUCAAACAAAGGAGAAAGAAAAUGGAGUACUAAAGUCUUAUUGAUGUAAUUACAAUUGUAAUUAAAUUUCAGUAACUUAAAAUAAUAUUUUUCGUUAUUAUUGUAUGUCGGAAGAUUAUUUGUAUCACAUCAAUUUUAAUUUAAUCCAUUGUUAUUUUCAAUGGUAGAAUGUAACUUACAA